UUUCUUUAUUUGCAUUCAAUACACUACACAGUAUAGACAGUAUAGUACAUGAAACCCCUACGGGUGUGACAAAAGAUAAAAAUUAAUACGAGUAUUUACAGAACAGAGUCAAUAAUUAUAGCAGUUAAAAAAGUCAAAGUGAAAUAUAACACAUAUUAUAAAUAAGAAUAUAAAAAACAUGUUCGCUUGUAUAGAGACUAGGAAACAAAAACAUACAAUACAAUACUCUUUAUUGAACACCUCACAUAGUUUACAAUAAAUGUACAGAAACAAACAAAGACAGUUUGAUAGAGGUAACAACAGGCGGUCUUAUCGCUUAAGAGCGAUCUCUUCCAGACAACCUUUGGGUAUCGGAGACAAUAAAAUUAGAAUAUACGGUAGGUAGCACAAAGAAAAGCAACAAAAUAAUAAUAAUAAUUAAAAGUCGAAUAGAAUAGUAUAACCAAACAACACAAGACAUUAAUAUGAAUAAACAUACUUAAAUACGUCUAACCAUAAACAUACAUAGACAUACAUACAUAACAAAUAUUUAUUAAAUAAAGAAACAACAGUGUCGUUAAUAAUAAUUUAAAAAAAACUAUGACAGGGAAAGAUAGUAUUCCUUAAGGUUUGAUUUGAAGGAGGUAAUAGAUUGAGAACGUCUUAACUCAACAGGGAGAGAGUUCCACAGUCGAACAGCCUGGGAAGUAAAUGAGCAAUUAUUAAAUUUGGAAGAGGAAGAUGGCACAGAUAGGAGCAAAUUUUGAGAGGAUCUAACAGAAUUCAGAUAAGAGAAACGCUCUUUAAGAUAGCGGGGAGUUGCAGGAUUAAAAAGUAUAGAAUAAAGCAAAGAAAGUAUGUGGGAGUUACGACGAUGACGGAUAAGGAGCCACUUGAGUUGGGAUCGGAAACUGGAAACAUGGUCAUAUUUGCGUAACCCGAAUAUGAACCGAAAAAAUUACAAUAUCAAAUGAAUAUAGGGAAGUAUGGCUUUGAAAUAUGUCAUCAAUAUUAUAAUAACAGCCUUUCAGUAGAAACGUUUUGAGGGACUUCUUAAAAACAUGGUACUCUCGUAUUUCCUUAAAUUCGUUUGGUAGCCUAAUGUACAAAUUUACUGCUUGGUAGCGUACAGAGUGUUUAGCCACUUGGAAUUUCGGGAUAAAAUUAUUGAAAAUAUUUUUCUUAAGUGUUUCUAAAUGAAGUUGUCUAUCUUCCUCUAUUUCAUACAGAUUUUUAACAAAUGACGUAAGAAGUACGUGUACAAUCAAACUAGGUAGUGUAAGAAUUCGUAGCUUAACAAAAAGUUCUCUACAAGAAACCCAUUGAGGGUACGUACGUGUCAUUGUCCUAAUUGUUCUUUAUUGUAAAACAAAAGCUCUAUUUAUAUUGUUUCUAAAACCAUUUCCCCAGAAUCGAAUGCUGUAUCUCAAUUUGGAUUCCACUAAAGAGUGAUAAACCAUUUUGAAAUGUUGCAUAUCUAUCAUUACUUUUUAGACAGAAAUUACUAUAUUUAUUAAUCAUGACAAUAGUUUUGCCCAAGCUGAACAGGAGACCCUCGAUAACGCGCGGUAAAUUGUAAAAAAAAAUGAGUUUUCAGAUUUUUUCCUUUGUAUACGCCUAAUAGUUUACCUUCAUGCCAAAUAUCAAGUUCAAGACCAUCUAGAAGUUGGGUAUGUUUUUGAUUUAUAUAAGUCUUAAUUCAUUAUCAAAAUAUGUUUUUUUAAUCACAAUUUCAAUCAUUUUUAGUGUUCAGAUUUUUUUCUCUAUGAACACCUAAAAGCCUACUUUCGUACCAAAUAUCAAGUUUCUAGGUCAUCUGGAAGUGGGUUAGGUUUUUGAUCUAUGAAACUUAAUUGUUCUAAUGAUCGUAUAUGAUUAUUUCCAUCGAAUUAUCAAAUAAUUUUCAGCUUUUAGUUUUCGUCUACAUAUGCAUAAUCUACCUUGAUGCCAAGUAUCCAGUUUCUAGGUCAUCUGGAAGUGGGUUAGGUUUUUGAUCUAUAAGUCUAAAUUUUAUCCAUAAAUGUUUGUUUUUUAUCUAAUUACCAAUCAUUUUCAGUUUUCAGAUUGUUUCCUCUAUAAACACCUAAUAGUCUACCUUGAUGCCAAAUUUCAAGAUCUUAUGAAUCGUGUAAAAGUGCCCUUGUGGCCUAUUUGCUGAAUAAAUGCUGAAGUUGAAGAAGGAGUUGAAGUUGAAGUUCAUCAUCUGGAAGUGGGCGUAGAGCUCUAUGAAGAACCAUCUCACUUGCCUGGUGUCCAUCGGCGGCGGUAAUCGCUAACCAUCAGGUGACCCGUCUGCUCGUUUGCCUCCUCUAUCAUAAAAAAAAAUUAUAUUGAUUUAAAUUUGUCAUGUUUAUAUAAUGAUUAUUAAAUUAAUUGGUAAUGUCAUUAGGAUUAUCUAAUAUUAUGUCGUGUACAACUAAUUUACUUGGACUUCCUUCCAUAUUAUGAGUUCUCGCCAUACUUUUUAUGGGACAUCAUUCUUCUUAAGUAGCUUUACAUAUAUUAUUACAAUUAGACCUAGCUAUAUAUUUGCAGUUAGUCAAUUUCUGAGCCUGGUGUAUGCAUCGUUACAUAAGUCGAGAAUAGUUGCGAUAUUUAUUUUUAUGGGAGAUCUUUUUAGGGUUCCGUAGCCAAAUGGCAAAAAACGGAACCCUUAUAGAUUCGUCAUGUCCGUCUGUCUGUCCGAUUCUGUCACA
Long non-coding RNA from Cydia pomonella (codling moth), 2675 nucleotides. RefSeq lists it as uncharacterized. NCBI's taxonomy places the organism in Eukaryota, Metazoa, Arthropoda, Insecta, Lepidoptera, Tortricidae. The record is from RefSeq and is a predicted model, not a curated record. The transcript has 3 exons.